GAUGAACGCUGGCGGCGUGCCUAAUACAUGCAAGUCGAGCGAACAGAUGAUGAGCUUGUUCCUCUGACGUUAGCGGCGGACGGGUGAGUAACACGUGGAUAACCUACCUAUAAUACUGGGAUAAUUUCGGGAAACCGGAGCUAAUACCAGAUAAUAUAUCGAACCGCAUGGUUCAAUAGUGAAUGACGGUUUUGCUGUCACUUAUAGAUGGAUCCGUGUCGGAUUAGCUAGUUGGUAAGGUAACGGCUUACCAAGGCAACGAUGCGUAGCCGACCUGAGAGGAUGAUCGGCCACACUGGAACUGAGACACGGUCCAGACUCCUACGGGAGGCAGCAGUAGGGAAUCUUCCGCAAUGGGCGAAAGCCUGACGCAGCAACGCCGCGUGAGUGAUGAAGGUCUUCGGAUCGUAAAACUCUGUUAUUAGGAAAGAAAAGCUGUGUAAGUAACUAUGCACGUCUUGACGGUACCUAAUCAGAAAGCCCCGGCUAACUACGUG
Molecule: ribosomal RNA, 497 nt
Filed under: uncultured bacterium
Lineage: Bacteria
Description: partial 16S ribosomal RNA
Rfam family: Bacterial small subunit ribosomal RNA
Source: RNAcentral